GACGAACGCUGGCGGCGUGCUUAACACAUGCAAGUCGAACGGAAAGGCCCUGCUUUUGUGGGGUGCUCGAGUGGCGAACGGGUGAGUAACACGUGAGUAACCUGCCCUUGACUUUGGGAUAACUUCAGGAAACUGGGGCUAAUACCGGAUAGGAGCUCCUGCUGCAUGGUGGGGGUUGGAAAGUUUCGGCGGUUGGGGAUGGACUCGCGGCUUAUCAGCUUGUUGGUGGGGUAGUGGCUUACCAAGGCUUUGACGGGUAGCCGGCCUGGGAGGGUGACCGGCCACAUUGGGACUGAGAUACGGCCCAGACUCCUACGGGAGGCAGCGGUGGGGAAUAUUGCGCAAUGGGCGGAAGCCUGAUGCAGCAACGCCGCGUGCGGGAUGACGGCCUUCGGGUUGUAAACCGCUUUCGCCUGUGACGAAGCGUGAGUGACGGUAAUGGGUAAAGAAGCACCGGCUAACUACGUG
RNAcentral lists this ribosomal RNA (468 nucleotides) under uncultured bacterium. RNAcentral describes it as "partial 16S ribosomal RNA". It matches the Rfam family "Bacterial small subunit ribosomal RNA", at positions 28 to 507 of the family's 1533-position model. The record is from RNAcentral.